CCAUAAAUUAUGUUGAAGCAAAAAAAAUGUUUAAUUUCAUAUUCUAGGGACAGUUAAGAUAAAAUGAUCCCUGGUGAGGGAAUUCAGGUGGGAUUUGUGCUCUUUCAGUGCCUAGCUCUACCUUUUUUUAAAGGCUACUCUUAUCAAUAUGGAUGAGUUCAGGUGGUGCCCUGACAAAAUAUGGACCAGCGGCUUUCUUACAUCCUGCUACUGGAGCAGUGCGGUACUGGAUUUGAAAUAGGUUCUGAACACAGAAGAUUAAUGUAGUUGGAACAUUCAUCUGUGUUAAAAGCCUCCUGACCCCUCUUCCAGUACUACAGUUGGAGGUUCAGCUGUGCAAAUCGAUGCACUGCCCUUGCUUGAACAAGAAGUCCGUGUUUGUUGUAUGUUUGGUGUGGAGGAGGAUGUGAGGUGACUGUGGCAUUCUGGUUGGUUUGCUGGAAAUCUGCUACCUGUGAGUGCAACU
Onychostruthus taczanowskii (white-rumped snowfinch) is the source of this 466-nucleotide long non-coding RNA. RefSeq lists it as uncharacterized. NCBI's taxonomy places the organism in Eukaryota, Metazoa, Chordata, Aves, Passeriformes, Passeridae. The transcript has 3 exons. The record is from RefSeq and is a predicted model, not a curated record.